UCCGGGGGGUGCGAUCGUUAUUCGGAAUUAUUGGGCGUAAAGGGCGCGCAGGCGGUUGAAUAAGUCAGGUGUGAAAGCCCUUGGCUUAACCAAGGAAGUGCAUUUGAUACUAUUUGACUUGAGUAUGGGAGGGGGAAGUGGAAUUCCUGGUGUAGAGGUGAAAUUCGUAGAUAUCAGGAGGAACACCGGUGGCGAAAGCGACUUCCUGGACCAAUACUGACGCUGAGGCGCGAAGGCGUGGGGAGCAAACAGG
This 253-nucleotide ribosomal RNA is filed under the name uncultured bacterium. Its description in RNAcentral is "partial 16S ribosomal RNA". It matches the Rfam family "Bacterial small subunit ribosomal RNA", at positions 524 to 776 of the family's 1533-position model. The record is from RNAcentral.